This 490-nucleotide ribosomal RNA is filed under the name uncultured bacterium. RNAcentral describes it as "partial 16S ribosomal RNA". It matches the Rfam family "Bacterial small subunit ribosomal RNA", at positions 28 to 507 of the family's 1533-position model. The record is from RNAcentral.
GAUGAACGCUAGCUACAGGCUUAACACAUGCAAGUCGCGGGGCAGCAUGGGGGUUGCUUGCAAUCCCCGAUGGCGACCGGCGCACGGGUGAGUAACGCGUAUCCAACCUGCCCUUCACCACGGGCUAACCCGGCGAAAGUCGGACUAAUACCGUAUGUUGUCCAUUGACGGCAUCCGAUUUGGACGAAAGGCUUGGCGGUGAGGGAUGGGGAUGCGUCCGAUUAGCCAGACGGCGGGGUAACGGCCCACCGUGGCUACGAUCGGUAGGGGUUCUGAGAGGAAGGUCCCCCACACUGGAACUGAGACACGGUCCAGACUCCUACGGGAGGCAGCAGUGAGGAAUAUUGGUCAAUGGGCGUAAGCCUGAACCAGCCAAGUAGCGUGCAGGAUGACGGCCCUAUGGGUUGUAAACUGCUUUUAUGCGGGGAUAAAGUGGCCCACGUGUGGGCUUUUGCAGGUACCGCAUGAAUAAGGACCGGCUAAUUCCGUG